This 253-nucleotide ribosomal RNA is filed under the name uncultured bacterium. Its description in RNAcentral is "partial 16S ribosomal RNA". It matches the Rfam family "Bacterial small subunit ribosomal RNA", at positions 524 to 776 of the family's 1533-position model. The record is from RNAcentral.
UACGAAGGGUGCAAGCGUUACUCGGAAUUACUGGGCGUAAAGCGUGCGUAGGUGGUUCGUUAAGUCUGAUGUGAAAGCCCUGGGCUCAACCUGGGAAUGGCAUUGGAAACUGGCGAUCUAGAGUGCGGUAGAGGGUAGUGGAAUUCCCGGUGUAGCAGUGGAAUGCGUAGAGAUCCGGAGGAACACCAAUAGCGAAGGCGGCAUCCUGGACCGGUAUUGACGCUGAGGCGCGAAAGCUAGGGUAGCAAACGGG